GUGGGGAAUAUUGGACAAUGGGCGAAAGCCUGAUCCAGCCAUGCCGCGUGUGUGAAGAAGGUCUUCGGAUUGUAAAGCACUUUAAGUUGGGAGGAAGGGUAGUAACCUAAUACGUUGCUACUUUGACGUUACCGACAGAAUAAGCACCGGCUAACUUCGUGCCAGCAGCCGCGGUAAUACGAAGGGUGCAAGCGUUAAUCGGAAUUACUGGGCGUAAAGCGCGCGUAGGUGGUUCAGUAAGUUGGAAGUGAAAUCCCCGGGCUCAACCUGGGAACUGCUUUCAAAACUGCUGAGCUAGAGUACGGGAGAGGGUGGUGGAAUUUCCUGUGUAGCGGUGAAAUGCGUAGAUAUAGGAAGGAACACCAGUGGCGAAGGCGACCACCUGGACUGAUACUGACACUGAGGUGCGAAAGCGUGGGGAGCAAACAGGAUUAGAAACCCCAGUAGUCC
Molecule: ribosomal RNA, 450 nt
Filed under: uncultured bacterium
Lineage: Bacteria
Description: partial 16S ribosomal RNA
Rfam family: Bacterial small subunit ribosomal RNA
Source: RNAcentral